CAUGUUACAGUUCAUACAGUAUUAAUAGUGAGACUGCGGACGGCUCAGUAAAUCAGUUAUAAUCCGUUCGAAAGUAUCCCCAUUGGAUAACCGUGGGAAAUCUAGAGCUAAUACAUGUGUGAAUAGUGUUUGGUGGCUUGCUACCGGACGCUAGCAUUUAUUAGAAGUGACCAACUGUUUGUAGGCGCUGGAAACGGUGUCUGCAAUCAAGGUGAAUCUAGAUAACUGAGCUGAUCGCAUAGCCUAGUGCUGGCGAUGUUUCGAUCGAAUUUCUGCCCUAUCAACUUGUUGGUAAGGUAGAGGCUUACCAAGGUUGCAACGGGUAACGGGGAAUCAGGGUUCGAUUCCGGAGAGGGAGCCUGAGAAACGGCUACCACAUCCAAGGAAGGCAGCAGGCGCGCAAAUUACCCAAUCCAGACAAUGGGAGGUGGUGACCAGAAGUACUGGGUGGUGGAUUAUAUCUACCAAUCCCGGAAUGAGCAUAAAGUAAAAAGUUAGUCGAGUAACAACUGGAGGGCAAGUCUGGUGCCAGCAGCCGCGGUAAUUCCAGCUCCAGUAGCAUGUCGUAAAGUUGUUGCGUUUAAAACGCUCGUAGUUGGAUUAUAGAGUGACGCUGGGUUAGUUCACAUGUCACCGGCAAACUAACUGUUGUGAAUGGAUUGGCGCAGUUAACUCUGUGUUAAUCGUUGAUGGCAGUGUCGGUAGUGUGAGUUUUGUGCCUGGCGUGACUAGUUGCACGUAAGAAUGGUGAUUGGCCUUAAGUGCGUUGGUCAGUGUGUCUUACGGGAUGUGCCUUGAAAAAAUCAAAGUGCUCAAAGCAGGCUGCACGCCUGAAUGAUACAGCAUGGAACGAACAAUCGUGUAAAGUGCAUGGGUAGGGACGGUGAUGCUAUUGAGUGAUUGGUGGCGUUGCCGACUGUCUAUGCACAUCACCAACCUUCAUGUACGGAUGUUGGUUUCCGUAUUGGGGUGAUGAUUAAAACGAGCGGUUGGGGGCAUUGGUAUUUGGCCGCGAGAGGUGAAAUUCUUAGACCGGCCAAGGACUAACAAAAGCGAAGGCAUUUGCCAAGACCGUCUCGAUUGAUCAAGAACGAAAGUGAGCGGAUCGAAGACGAUCAGAUACCGUCCUAGUGCUCACCAUAAACUAUGCCAACCCGGGAUUAGCUGCGAGCAUCAUAUGAAUGGCUCGAGGUUGGUCCCCCUGGGAAACCUGAAGUGUUUGGGUUACGGGGGGAGUAUGGUCGCAAGGCUGAAACUUAAAGGAAUUGACGGAAGGGCACCACCAGGGGUGGAGCCUGCGGCUUAAUUUGACUCAACACGGGAAAACUCACCCGGUCCUGACGUUAAAAGGAUAGACAGACUAAUAGAUCUUUCUUGAUAUGAUGUGUGGUGGUGCAUGGCCGUUCUUAGUUCGUGAAGUGAUUUGUCAGAUUGAUUUCGGUAACGGACGAGACCCGAGUCUCCAUUUACGAGACGUAAUAGUCGCUACCUACGGGUGGUGACUCUAGUUGGUGUGGUGGGGAGACGGUGGUGACAUCGGAUCUCGAUGACAACAACUAUUCUUAUGUCAUGUUGUGUGCGGUGACGUAUGCAGCUGCAUGGAGAGACAACUGACAAUAAUAUAAAAUCAGAGGAGGUUGGGCUAUAACAGGUCUGUGAUGCCCUUAGAUGUUCGGGGCUGCACGCGCGCUACAAUGAUGACGGCAGCGAGAUAUCUGGGCCGAGAGGCUUGGGAAAUCUGUCAAUCGUCAUCGUGAUGGGGAUUGUCCAUUGUAAUUUGGACAUGAAAUAGGAAUCCCUUGUACGUGCACUUCAUCUUAAAGUGCGUGGAAUGAGUCCCUGCCCUUUGUACACACCGCCCGUCGCUACUACCGAGUGAAUGGUGUCAUGAUGCGUUGGGAGUGGACGUCGAAAGGUUUUGCCUGGCGACGCUACCAUCAAUGUAGAAUGGCGCAA
Molecule: ribosomal RNA, 1956 nt
Filed under: Myxobolus matosi
Lineage: Eukaryota; Metazoa; Cnidaria; Myxozoa; Bivalvulida; Myxobolidae
Description: SSU rRNA
Rfam family: Eukaryotic small subunit ribosomal RNA
Source: RNAcentral